Molecule: ribosomal RNA, 253 nt
Filed under: uncultured bacterium
Lineage: Bacteria
Description: partial 16S ribosomal RNA
Rfam family: Bacterial small subunit ribosomal RNA
Source: RNAcentral
UACGGAGGAUCCGAGCGUUAUCCGGAUUUAUUGGGUUUAAAGGGAGCGUAGGUGGAUUGUUAGGUCAGUUGUGAAAGUUUGCGGCUCAACCGUAAAAUUGCAGUUGAAACUGGCAGUCUUGAGUACAGUAGAGGUGGGCGGAAUUCGUGGUGUAGCGGUGAAAUGCUUAGAUAUCACGAAGAACUCCGAUUGCGAAGGCAGCUCACUAGACUGCAACUGACACUGAUGCUCGAAAGUGUGGGUAUCAAACAGG